GACAUAGGUGGCGAACGUUAUCCGGAUUUAUUGGGCGUAAAGGAUGCGUAGAUGGUAGAACAAGUUAUUGGUCGAGGUCAAGCUCAACUUGGCGGAAGCUGGUAAUACUAUUCUGCUUGAGGACAGGAGAGGUUGGCGGAAUUCUGUGUGGAGCGGUGAAAUGCGUUGAUCUACAGAGGAACACCAAAAAGGGCGAAGGCAGCUAACUAUUCUGAUCCUGACAUUGAGGCAUGAAAGCGUGGGGAGCAAACCGG
RNAcentral lists this ribosomal RNA (254 nucleotides) under uncultured bacterium. RNAcentral describes it as "partial 16S ribosomal RNA". It matches the Rfam family "Bacterial small subunit ribosomal RNA", at positions 524 to 776 of the family's 1533-position model. The record is from RNAcentral.